GUUCGAGUUCGAAACAAUCACUCACUCAAUUAUUAAAGCCUAAGGUCUAUCUUACUUCGAGUUCAAGCAAUCACUCACUCGAUCAUAAAAGGCCUACGAGCUAUACUUCGAGUUCGAGCAAUCACUCACUCAAUUAUUAAAGCCUAAGGGCUAUCUUACUUCGAGUUCGAGCAAUCACUCACUCGAUCAUAAAAAGCCUACGGGCUAAGAUACUUUGAGUUCGAGUUCGAAACAAUCACUCACUCAAUUAUUAAAGCCUAAGGGCUAUUUUACUUCGAGUUCGAGCAAUCACUCACUCGAUCAUAAAAAUCCUACGGGCU
Molecule: long non-coding RNA, 320 nt
Filed under: Nicotiana tabacum (common tobacco)
Lineage: Eukaryota; Viridiplantae; Streptophyta; Magnoliopsida; Solanales; Solanaceae
Description: long non-coding RNA (NTAB_LNC009964)
Source: RNAcentral